Molecule: ribosomal RNA, 499 nt
Filed under: uncultured bacterium
Lineage: Bacteria
Description: bacterial SSU rRNA
Rfam family: Bacterial small subunit ribosomal RNA
Source: RNAcentral
ACGAACGCUGGCGGCGUGCCUAAUACAUGCAAGUCGAGCGGAAUGAUGAAGAAGCUUGCUUCUUCUGAUUUUAGCGGCGGACGGGUGAGUAACACGUGGGCAACCUACCUUGUAGAUUGGGAUAACUCCGGGAAACCGGGGCUAAUACCGAAUAAUCCAUUUUGCUUCAUGGCGAGAUGUUGAAAGACGGUUUCGGCUGUCACUAUAAGAUGGGCCCGCGGCGCAUUAGCUAGUUGGUAGGGUAAUGGCCUACCAAGGCGACGAUGCGUAGCCGACCUGAGAGGGUGAUCGGCCACACUGGGACUGUGACACGGCCCAGACUCCUACGGGAGGCAGCAGUAGGGAAUCUUCCACAAUGGACGAAAGUCUGAUGGAGCAACGCCGCGUGAGUGAAGAAGGUUUUCGGAUCGUAAAACUCUGUUGUAAGGGAAGAACACGUACGAGAGUAACUGCUCGUACCUUGACGGUACCUUAUUAGAAAGCCACGGCUAACUACGUG